Molecule: long non-coding RNA, 505 nt
Filed under: Homo sapiens (human)
Lineage: Eukaryota; Metazoa; Chordata; Mammalia; Primates; Hominidae
Description: HSALNT0319305
Source: RNAcentral
AUUUCCAUUGUUGCUGGAGUGUGCGUGAGUGUCUGAAAGAAAAUGCUCCAAUAUGGCUCAGAAAGGCACUGAGAAAACCUAGCCUUAGCUAGGCUAAGAGCCUAGCUUCUGGCCUGGCUUUUACGUGGUCAGCGGAUGUGCGUCCAUCCCCCUGCACUGGUUCCCCUUGUCCUUUCUGUGGCUCUCCUGGAUUCCUCUCGUUCAGCUCCUUGGUGUACAGAGCCUAUGUCAAUGGCAAUGGUGAGGGAAAUUGCCAGAGCCCUGCCCUCCAGGCCUGUCCUUAUUCAUGGGGAUCUGAGAAGAAGAGAUUAGGACCCAGACAUGCACAGAGGAGACCCUGUAAGGACACAAAGAGAAGACAGCCAUCUGCAAGCCAAGAAGAAAGGCCUUGGGGGAAACCAGCCCUGCCCACACCUUGGUCUGGACUUCCAGCUGAUUCUUGGAUGAGCUGGUCCUUAGGCACGGAGGCAGGACUGUGAGAAAAUAAAUUUCUGUUUUUAAUUCA